RNAcentral lists this microRNA precursor (61 nucleotides) under Cordylochernes scorpioides. Lineage: Eukaryota; Metazoa; Arthropoda; Arachnida; Pseudoscorpiones; Chernetidae. The record is from RNAcentral.
CCAAGUACAGUGUGUUGGAUUCUUACUACCUGUAAGUACAGUCCAUAGUCACUUUGCCAGG